RNAcentral lists this ribosomal RNA (460 nucleotides) under uncultured bacterium. RNAcentral's name for it is "partial 16S ribosomal RNA". It matches the Rfam family "Bacterial small subunit ribosomal RNA", at positions 338 to 795 of the family's 1533-position model. The record is from RNAcentral.
CCUUCGGGAGACAGCAGUGAGGAAUAUUGGUCAAUGGGCGCGAGCCUGAACCAGCCAAGUAGCGUGAAGGAUGACUGCCCUACGGGUUGUAAACUUCUUUUAUAACGGAAUAAAGUGUUCCACGUGUGGGUUUUUGUAUGUACCUUAUGAAUAAGGAUCGCCUAACUCCGUGCCAGCAGCCGCGGUAAUACGGAGGAUCCGAGCGUUAUCCGGAUUUAUUGGGUUGAAAGGGAGCGUAGGUGGGUUGUUAAGUCAGUUGUGAAAGUUUGCGGCCCAACCGUAAAAUUGCAGUUGAAACUGGCAGCCUUGAGUACAGUAGAGGUAGGCGGAAUUCGUGGUGUAGCGGUGAAAUGCUUAGAUAUCACGAAGAACUCCGAUUGCGAAGGCAGCCUACUAGACUGCCACUGACACUGAGGCUCGAAAGUGUGGGUAUCAAACAGGAUUAGAUACCCGUGUAGUC